Molecule: long non-coding RNA, 244 nt
Filed under: Setaria viridis
Lineage: Eukaryota; Viridiplantae; Streptophyta; Magnoliopsida; Poales; Poaceae
Description: long non-coding RNA (SVIR_LNC008396)
Source: RNAcentral
UCAUGUGGGAUGAAGAGAAAGUGAACAAUGAACUAGAAAAGUAUAUGAGCAGUGCUUUUCAACACAUCAAGGCCAUGUGCAAGUCUUUAGAUUGCGACCUUAGGAUGGGGGCAUUCACCUUAGGAGUUAAUAGGGUUGCCCGCGCCACCCUCUUGAGAGGCUGGGAGGCUUGAGAUCAUUAAGCAUACAGAUUGAUCAGAUUUGACAUUCAAUAAUUCAUGUCCAACAAUAUUGGAUGACCAGU